This 450-nucleotide ribosomal RNA is filed under the name uncultured bacterium. RNAcentral describes it as "partial 16S ribosomal RNA". It matches the Rfam family "Bacterial small subunit ribosomal RNA", at positions 354 to 796 of the family's 1533-position model. The record is from RNAcentral.
GUGGGGAAUUUUGGACAAUGGGCGCAAGCCUGAUCCAGCAAUGCCGCGUGCAGGAAGAAGGCCUUCGGGUUGUAAACUGCUUUUGUACGGAACGAAACGGUCCGGGUUAAUACCCUGGGCUAAUGACGGUACCGUAAGAAUAAGCACCGGCUAACUACGUGCCAGCAGCCGCGGUAAUACGUAGGGUGCAAGCGUUAAUCGGAAUUACUGGGCGUAAAGCGUGCGAAGGCGGUUUUGUAAGACAGGCGUGAAAUCCCCGGGCUCAACCUGGGAAUUGCGCUUGUGACUGCAAGGCUGGAGUGCGGCAGAGGGGGAUGGAAUUCCGCGUGUAGCAGUGAAAUGCGUAGAUAUGCGGAGGAACACCGAUGGCGAAGGCAAUCCCCUGGGCCUGCACUGACGCUCAUGCACGAAAGCGUGGGGAGCAAACAGGAUUAGAUACCCUUGUAGUCC